Molecule: transfer RNA, 75 nt
Filed under: Candidatus Methanofastidiosia archaeon
Lineage: Archaea; Methanobacteriati; Methanobacteriota; Candidatus Methanofastidiosia
Description: tRNA-Glu
Rfam family: tRNA
About the family: Transfer RNA (tRNA) molecules are approximately 80 nucleotides in length. Their secondary structure includes four short double-helical elements and three loops (D, anti-codon, and T loops).
Source: RNAcentral
GCUCCGGUGGUGUAGACCGGUCAAUCAUUCGAGCCUCUCGAGCUCGUGACCCGGGUUCAAAUCCCGGCCGGAGCA